AUUGAACGCUGGCGGCAGGCCUAACACAUGCAAGUCGAGCGGAUGAAGGGAGCUUGCUCCUGGAUUCAGCGGCGGACGGGUGAGUAAUGCCUAGGAAUCUGCCUGGUAGUGGGGGAUAACGUCCGGAAACGGGCGCUAAUCCCGCAUACGUCCUGAGGGAGAAAGUGGGGGAUCUUCGGACCUCACGCUAUCAGAUGAGCCUAGGUCGGAUUAGCUAGUUGGUGGGGUAAAGGCCUACCAAGGCGACGAUCCGUAACUGGUCUGAGAGGAUGAUCAGUCACACUGGAACUGAGACACGGUCCAGACUCCUACGGGAGGCAGCAGUGGGGAAUAUUGGACAAUGGGCGAAAGCCUGAUCCAGCCAUGCCGCGUGUGUGAAGAAGGUCUUCGGAUUGUAAAGCGCUUUAGGUUGGGAGGAAGGGCAGUAAGUUAAUACCUUGCUGUAUUGACGUUACCAACAGAAUAAGCACCGGCUAACUUCGUG
RNAcentral lists this ribosomal RNA (484 nucleotides) under uncultured bacterium. RNAcentral's name for it is "partial 16S ribosomal RNA". It matches the Rfam family "Bacterial small subunit ribosomal RNA", at positions 30 to 507 of the family's 1533-position model. The record is from RNAcentral.